GUCCAGACUCCUACGGGAGGCAGCAGUGGGGGAUAUUGCGCAAUGGGGGAAACCCUGAUGCAGCGACGCCGCGUGUGGGAAGACGGUCUUCUGGAUUGUAAACCACUGUCCCCAGGGACGAAAAUGACGGUACCUGGGGAGGAAGCUCCGGCUAACUACGUGCCAGCAGCCGCGGUAAUACGUAGGGAGCAAGCGUUGUCCGGAAUUACCGGGUGUAAAGGGAGCGUAGGCGGGGAUGCAAGCCAGGAGUGAAAGCCCGGGGCCCAACCCCGGGACUGCUCUUGGAACUGCGUGGCUGGAGUGCAGGAGGGGCAGGCGGAAUUCCUGGUGUAGCGGUGAAAUGCGUAGAUAUCAGGAGGAACACCGGUGGCGAAGGCGGCCUGCUGGACUGCAACUGACGUUGAGGCCCGAAAGCGUGGGGAGCAAACGGGAUUAGAUACCCCAGUAUA
This 449-nucleotide ribosomal RNA is filed under the name uncultured bacterium. RNAcentral describes it as "bacterial SSU rRNA". It matches the Rfam family "Bacterial small subunit ribosomal RNA", at positions 329 to 794 of the family's 1533-position model. The record is from RNAcentral.